This 253-nucleotide ribosomal RNA is filed under the name uncultured bacterium. RNAcentral describes it as "partial 16S ribosomal RNA". It matches the Rfam family "Bacterial small subunit ribosomal RNA", at positions 524 to 776 of the family's 1533-position model. The record is from RNAcentral.
GACGAACGGGACAAACGUUAUUCGGAAUUACUGGGCUUAAAGGGUUUGUAGGCGGCCUUGUAAGUCCGGUGUGAAAUCCCUCGGCUCAACCGAGGAAUGGCGCUUGAUACUGCACGGCUUGAGGGAGACAGGGGUAAGCGGAACUGAUGGUGGAGCGGUGAAAUGCGUUGAUAUCAUCAGGAACACCGGUGGCGAAAGCGGCUUACUGGGUCUCUUCUGACGCUGAGGAACGAAAGCUAGGGGAGCGAACGGG